Molecule: long non-coding RNA, 771 nt
Organism: Mytilus californianus (California mussel)
Lineage: Eukaryota; Metazoa; Mollusca; Bivalvia; Mytilida; Mytilidae
Exons: 3
Source: RefSeq, a predicted model, not a curated record
CAGCGGGUUUAUGCUUUCUGCUCUCUGGUCAGGUUGUUGUCUCUUUGACACAUUCCCUGUUUCCAUACUCAAUUUUAUAUUAUGCAAUUAUAUGUAAUGUUAUUUAUUCUCUCAAGAAUAUUGUUACAUCCCUUAAAAAUGCAUAUUUUAUUGUAUUGGUACAUGUAGAGAUAAAUACUCCAAAAAAGUUAAUGCAUAUAUACAGUUGUAUGUCAUGUAUGUAUAUUUUCCUUUCUAUAGGGUUGUAAUUACACCACUUUGUUAAAUACCAGAUUAAAUUACCAUACAAAAUCCUGUCAUGCUAAAACAGAAUGUUUAGAAAAAUGCCAGAUUUGUGGUAAAGUAUACCCAGCAGACAAGAAGUUCAAGGAUCAUGUUUAUGGAGUCCAUGGAAAUGAUAGGAUGAUAAGACUGUAAUGUGAAAUAUGUGGGCAUGUCAUGAAAAAAGCUGGGAUGUACAUGUAAAAUGCCACAUGCUUGCUAAACAUGAUAUUGAAGAGAAAUUGCCAACAGUUCUAUGCCAUUUAUGUCCUAAAGAAUUCAAGCAACAGUUUGUAUUGGAUGAGCACUUGUUAAAAGUCUAUAAACAAAUCCCUCCUGGAAGAGAGAAAGUCAUUUGAACCAGGAAGCAGUCCUAAAGUUCCAUGUCCAAUUUGUGGAAAAAUGUUGAGAAACAUUAGAAAACAUAUCUACAAAAUGUCCAUGGUAAUACUUUGUUAGGGAACGACCAUUUAACUUCAAGGGGGGUUAUGGUUUUUUCCUAAAAAAAUA